GAUGAACGCUGGCGGCGUGCCUAAUACAUGCAAGUCGAGCGAACGGACGAGAAGCUUGCUUUUCUGAUGUUAGCGGCGGACGGGUGAGUAACACGUGGAUAACCUACCUAUAAGACUGGGAUAACUUCGGGAAACCGGAGCUAAUACCGGAUAAUAUUUUGAACCGCAUGGUUCAAAAGUGAAAGACGGUCUUGCUGUCACUUAUAGAUGGAUCCGCGCUGCAUUAGCUAGUUGGUAAGGUAACGGCUUACCAAGGCAACGAUGCAUAGCCGACCUGAGAGGGUGAUCGACCACACUGGAAGUGAGACACGGUCCAGACUCCUACGGGAGGCAGCAGUAGGGAAUCUUCCGCAAAGGGCGAAAGCCUGACGGAGCAACGCCGCGUGAGUGAUGAAGGUCUUCGGAUCGUAAAACUCUGUUAUUAGGGAAGAACAUAUGUGUAAGUAACUGUGCACAUCUUGACGGUACCUAAUCAGAAAGCCACGGCUAACUACGUG
This 497-nucleotide ribosomal RNA is filed under the name uncultured bacterium. RNAcentral's name for it is "partial 16S ribosomal RNA". It matches the Rfam family "Bacterial small subunit ribosomal RNA", at positions 28 to 507 of the family's 1533-position model. The record is from RNAcentral.